Molecule: ribosomal RNA, 440 nt
Filed under: uncultured bacterium
Lineage: Bacteria
Description: partial 16S ribosomal RNA
Rfam family: Bacterial small subunit ribosomal RNA
Source: RNAcentral
CCUACGGGGGGCAGCAGUGGGGGAUAUUGCACAAUGGGGGAAACCCUGAUGCAGCGACGCCGCGUGGGUGAAGAAGCGCCUCGGCGCGUAAAGCCCUGUCAGCAGGGAAGAAAAUGACGGUACCUGAAGAAGAAGCCCCGGCUAACUACGUGCCAGCAGCCGCGGUAAUACGUAGGGGGCAAGCGUUAUCCGGAUUUACUGGGUGUAAAGGGGGCGCAGACGGCGAUGCAAGCCAGGAGUGAAAGCCCGGGGCCCAACCCCGGGACUGCUCUGGGAACUGCGUGGCUAGAGUGCAGGAGGGGCAGGCGGAAUUCCUGGUGUAGCGGUGAAAUGCGUAGAGAUCAGGAGGAACACCGGUGGCGAAGGCGGCCUGCUGGACUGCAACUGACGUUGAGGCCCGAAAGCGUGGGGAGAAAACAGGAGUAGAUACCCGGGUAGUC